GUGGGGAAUCUUGCGCAAUGGGCGAAAGCCUGACGCAGCCAUGCCGCGUGAAUGAUGAAGGUCUUAGGAUUGUAAAAUUCUUUCACCGGGGACGAUAAUGACGGUACCCGGAGAAGAAGCCCCGGCUAACUUCGUGCCAGCAGCCGCGGUAAUACGAAGGGGGCUAGCGUUGCUCGGAAUUACUGGGCGUAAAGGGCGCGUAGGCGGACAGUUUAGUCAGAGGUGAAAGCCCAGGGCUCAACCUUGGAAUUGCCUUUGAUACUGGCUGUCUUGAGUACGGGAGAGGUGAGUGGAACUCCGAGUGUAGAGGUGAAAUUCGUAGAUAUUCGGAAGAACACCAGUGGCGAAGGCGACUCACUGGCCCGUUACUGACGCUGAGGCGCGAAAGCGUGGGGAGCAAACAGGAUUAGAAACCCUAGUAGUC
RNAcentral lists this ribosomal RNA (424 nucleotides) under uncultured bacterium. RNAcentral's name for it is "partial 16S ribosomal RNA". It matches the Rfam family "Bacterial small subunit ribosomal RNA", at positions 354 to 795 of the family's 1533-position model. The record is from RNAcentral.